RNAcentral lists this transfer RNA (67 nucleotides) under Alpheus brevicristatus. Its description in RNAcentral is "tRNA-Ser". The record is from RNAcentral. Lineage: Eukaryota; Metazoa; Arthropoda; Malacostraca; Decapoda; Alpheidae.
AGGAUCGCAAGAAGGAAACUAGGUUUCUAACCUCGGGCUCAAGCAGUUAAAUUCUGUUUCUAUCCUU